This 190-nucleotide unclassified non-coding RNA is filed under the name soil metagenome. RNAcentral describes it as "partial contains small subunit ribosomal RNA, internal transcribed spacer 1, and 5.8S ribosomal RNA". The record is from RNAcentral.
UUUCCGUAGGUGAACCUGCGGAAGGAUCAUUACCGAGUGAAGCAGGGGGGGCCGCCCUCUCGGGGGCGCGUCCUCCCGGAAAGCUCCCAACCCAAACCCCAACACUCGUGAAGAAAACGUGAGAGGCGUCUGACGCGGUUGACGAAAGGAAACCGAAUCAAAACUUUCAACAACGGAUCUCUUGGUUCUG